AGCAUACUGGGAGAUCUGAGCCGUGACGACACCUUGACAAAGCUGCAGGAUCUGCGCAUCCGUCAGUCCCGGACCCUGUACGCAGUCUCCUCGAGGGCCUUCAUCUCCUCUUGGACCAGGCAGACCAGGAGGUCCAAUAGGACCAGCAAGUCCAUCACGGCCAAAUCGGCCCUUCACCCCAUGCUACAACACAUUAGUUCGCCCCCUCAGACCACGAUCCCCUUUCAUACCCUGAAGAAAAAGAGAAGCGGUAAGAUGGAAUUUUAUGAACUUUUUGCAAUGUUUUGAAUUGAAGAUGUGUUUGGACUGUGAGGGAAACUGGAGCACCCGGAGGAAACCCACACCAACACGGGGAGAACAUGUAAACUCCACACAGAAACGCCAACUGACCCAGCCGAGGCUCGAACCAGUGACCUUUUUGCUGUAACUUGACAGCGCAACCCACUGCGCCACCACACCACCAAGUAUUAUUCAAUAUGUUUAAUUUUUUCUCCACUGGCCACUUUAUUAGGUACACUUUAAUCGAUUGAACCCUUUUUAUCUUUAGAACUUCUUAAUUGUGAGGCAUUUUAACAAUCUGCUGGAGAUUUUGUUCUAUAUUGACAUAUUUCAGAUUCAUCAGCUGUGUUCUGUUUAAUUGAGCUAUAGCUCAUCAAGUUUAACAACAUUAUUAAUCCCACCAGGGGCAAUUAUAGGGCAGUAGCAUCAUGAUACAACAAACACAUACAGAGGCAGAUCCCUUACAAACAAACAAUAUUUAAAAGCACAAUCCAGCAUGCUUCAUAAUAACUUCAUCAAUAUAAUAAUACUACAAAAAAAGGCAACAAUACAAAAAAGGCUUCAGAGGAUGGGAAUCAUCUCCUAUCACACUUUGAACUUUCCCUAUCAUUUGCUGUUCAAGUAAUUCUGCUAGACUCCGCAGAGGAAAACCAAUAAUCUUAGAGCAAGUUUUGACUAAGCUUUAAAGGCGAUUUUUGUCUCUAAGGAAAAGUGAGGAGAACCAGCAUGAAAAGGAAAAGCUUAAUAUACUCUUAAUAUAGGUAGUAUAAAAAGUUCUCAGUAUAUUUUUUUCUACACAGAAAGAGUUCAGUUUGCUAAGAACAUACAUUCUCUGAUGCACUUUCUUAGUUACAGCUUCUGAGUUCUGCUGGGACUUUAAUGUGGUAAUGGAUCAAACUUCAAUGUUUGAUUUGCCUUCCUCUUUUUCAUACUUCAGUUGUUUUGUUUUUUCAUUAUAAUCACUUUUCCAUCAACUGGAACCAUGCGGUCAUCCUUUUAUCUCUGGCUAGGCAUGGGUUCGUAUAAGUUUCUGGCGGUAUGAUAACCUUGGACAAAAAUAUCACAGUAUUGUGAUAAAUGCUCUAAAAUAAGUUCUUAAAUGUCUGCGUAAAAAAAAAAAACUUGAACACAAUAUAUUUUAUUUUAGGAAAGAUUUAAAAUAUAAAAUAUUUUGGAGCAGUAAACAUGUCAGGCUAAAUAAUUAAAAUAAAUCAUUGACUUCUGCUGUCUUCAUUAGUUUCAAAACCACAGAUUUCUUUACAACACAUAAAAAAACCUUACAUAUACAGUACCUUAGGAACGGUAUUGCAAAUAAACCUGAAACCUUAGAUUUUACAAACCGCUGUAAACCUUGAACCCGGUUAUCAACCCAUGCCUCUGGCAUCAACAAGGCAUUUUCACCCACAGAACUGUCACAAAUUUUAGAUUUUAUAUGUUUUGAACCAUUCACUUUAAGAGAUAGUUCACCUAAAAAUGUUAUUCAUUCACUGUUUACUCACCCUCAAGUGUUUUUUUUUUUUUGUUGAACACAAACAAAGAUAUUUUGAAGAA
Molecule: long non-coding RNA, 1830 nt
Organism: Danio aesculapii
Lineage: Eukaryota; Metazoa; Chordata; Actinopteri; Cypriniformes; Danionidae
Exons: 3
Source: RefSeq, a predicted model, not a curated record